RNAcentral lists this small nuclear RNA (23 nucleotides) under Arabidopsis thaliana (thale cress). RNAcentral's name for it is "snRNA_10737". The record is from RNAcentral. Lineage: Eukaryota; Viridiplantae; Streptophyta; Magnoliopsida; Brassicales; Brassicaceae.
UGAGGCACUUGUGAGGGAUAAGG